Molecule: long non-coding RNA, 866 nt
Filed under: Mus musculus (house mouse)
Lineage: Eukaryota; Metazoa; Chordata; Mammalia; Rodentia; Muridae
Description: predicted gene, 32652
Source: RNAcentral
AGUUACCAAUGAGGAUUGGUGCACCUCCGGUAGUCUGAGCUGGGCUCUGAAGAACCAGGCUGGCCCUACAUCUCUGAACUCAUGGAGAGGCUGGGGCAUACAUGACCCUGGAGCUUUUAUCAUGUCUAUCCUGUCACAUCGUAAGUCAGACUCAAAGCAUCAAUCACGUCACAGCCCUGGGGUACAGAAGCCACGCAGUUGGAGGAAACUAGCCUGAAUGACACCAGGAAAGGAAAGAGAUGGACUGUUCCAGACACCACCUUCAUAGAUGUUCCAGAAGAAACAAGGCAAUUUUAAUUCGUCUUUAGAGGCAGCCGCAGAGGCUUAUCACGGUAUAGUACCUGAAGAACGGGGAUACAGGGGUGGCCAUCCGGCUCAGUGAUGCUCUCAUUGUUCUUCACGUUGCUGCAUGAGGGAAUACAUGGCAAGCAGGGAGUUGUAAAACUUCCGCUACCCUUCCUCUGCCAGAGAAAGCAGUUAGCAGGAUGUGUUAAACCAGCAGUUUACAACUGGGAGUCAAGGAAGCAGGGCAAUGGAGAGAGGCAAGAUGGCACCGUGGUUGGUGAGAGAAGACUCUGUGACACGAGGAUUGUGACAAUGCAAAAUAGCCGCAUGGGGUGGACUUAUCAAUUGCUGGCAAUAUUACGCACACAAAUACCCAUUGCCUCAGCAAGUGUGCCUCUCAGAAACCGUUUCCAAGGAUGGACUGGCAAACUGACUCUGAAUUGUGUUUUGCCUUAGUACAGGUACUUUCAGCAGGCUACCAAUGAGCUACAUUCAAUAUUUUGAUUGUAGUUACAUAAUAGUGUAAGAGAAGAGGCACAAAUAUCUGUCAGCUUGGUUGAAUAAACUGUGGUACAAACACA